UACGUAGAGUGCGAACGACGUUGUCCCGGAACUUAAGGUUAGGGCGGUAAAGGGUACGCAGGCGGAUAGUAAAGUCAAGCGUGAAAGGUGUCGGCUUAACCGACAGACUGGCGUUUGAAACUGAGUUAUCUUGAGUGUAACAGAGGAGAGUGGAAUUUCCUAGUGUAGUGGUGAAAUACGUAGAUAUUAGGAAGAACACCAGUGGCGAAGGCGACUCUCUGGGUUAACACUGACGCUGAGGUACGAAAGCUGGGGGAGCAAACGGGAUUAGAUACCCCGGUAGU
Molecule: ribosomal RNA, 284 nt
Filed under: uncultured bacterium
Lineage: Bacteria
Description: partial 16S ribosomal RNA
Rfam family: Bacterial small subunit ribosomal RNA (bases 43-284)
Source: RNAcentral